UGCCAGCCGCCGCGGUAAUACGGAGGGGGUUAGCGUUGUUCGGAAUUACUGGGCGUAAAGCGCACGUAGGCGGAUUAGUAAGUUAGGGGUGAAAUCCCGGGGCUCAACCCCGGAAGUGCACUUGAAACUGGAAGUCUGGAGUUCAGGAGAGGUUAGCGGAAUACCGAGUGUAGAGGUGAAAUUCGUAGAUAUUCGGUGGAACACCAGUGGCGAAGGCGGCUAACUGGACUGAUACUGACGCUGAGGUGCGAAAGUGUGGGGAGCAAACAGGAUUAGAUA
This 279-nucleotide ribosomal RNA is filed under the name uncultured bacterium. Its description in RNAcentral is "partial 16S ribosomal RNA". It matches the Rfam family "Bacterial small subunit ribosomal RNA", at positions 506 to 784 of the family's 1533-position model. The record is from RNAcentral.